This 108-nucleotide small nuclear RNA is filed under the name Dasypus novemcinctus (nine-banded armadillo). The record is from RNAcentral. Lineage: Eukaryota; Metazoa; Chordata; Mammalia; Cingulata; Dasypodidae.
GGGCUCGCCUCGGCAGCGCAGGUACUAAAAUUGGAAGGCUACAGAGAAGAUUAGUGUGGCCCCUGCACAGGAAUGACAUGCACAAAUCGUGAAGCAUUAAAAAAAAAA